This is a long non-coding RNA of Serinus canaria (Common canary), 5583 nucleotides long. RefSeq lists it as uncharacterized. The record is from RefSeq and is a predicted model, not a curated record. Lineage: Eukaryota; Metazoa; Chordata; Aves; Passeriformes; Fringillidae. The transcript has 2 exons.
UGAAGCAAGUGCCAGGUUUAACUUAGGUCCAGUGGACUUCAGGGUCUAAUUAAAGGGGCUUAAUUCAAUCUCUAGUGAAAUCAACAGAACUGUGCUUAAAAGUAACUUUGGAAGAAAAUAUUUUCUUUCUAAAGAAAAAUUCUGUGUGAAAUAUGGGAAGACUGUAGCAUGCCAGAGAAAAGCACUCUGGAAGGCUGUGAAAUUUUGGAAGGAGGCCCUGUAUUUGAGAGAGCCAGAUAAACUAUGAGCUGGGUUUUGAAAGAAUUGCACAGGGACAAACAACUGCAAGGGGAUCCAGGUGGUCCUCACAAGUUCUCUUGCCAGCUCUAAUCUCCAUUGCAAAAAUGGAGUCCCAGGUGCAGAAAAGUUCUACACCUAAUUUAAAGCCUCUAAGUCUAAGAUUCAGGCCUGUUAGGUAAUCCAGCAUAGUCCAAAAAUGCUCAUCUUCCACUGACAAGAGGGAAAGCCUGAGCCUUUAUUGAGACUUUUAUUAUUAAGAAGACAAUUAUUUUCCAUGCAAUUUAUGCUACUGUUAGUCCAAAUUUUUAAAACUUGAACUGACUGCAAGUCAGUUUUGACAACUCUAGUGCUAGAGGUGAAAUGAAUGCAGUUCCUUUUAUUGAAGCUUAAUCCACAUUAAGGGUACAAUUAAGAUAAUGUGCUGAUUGAAGAGGAAACAAGGAGAAGAAAGAGACACCUUUUAAGCACCUUCAUAAGGAAGCAUCUUUUUAAAUAACCAUUAGCAAAGUAUUUAUGAAACUCCCCCAGUCUGAGUCCUAAAGUGUUUAUGUAGCAGGCAGAUUAUGGAAGUAGCUUGGUCUCAGUAGUUCUGAAACAUACAGAAAGUGGCUGGAUUUUAACUACUCUCUGUUGGGUUAUGUGAGAUCAUUUGUACAUUUGUACUUGGAUGGCUCUGGCCAAAAGUAGCUCGGAAACUUCUUCAAAUUAGUGCCUUGAAAAUUUGUUGAGAAUCUAGAGUCUUGACCUGAGGAGACCAUGUGGUGCCACAUCACUAAUUAAGAGAAAAGAAACUAAAUUCAAAGUAAGAGUAGGUACAGUCCACUCACUUUAAUUUUUUGCAGGUUUUUCUUUUAGUUAAGUUGCACAAUGAGAAGUAAAGAUUGUACAGUAAAUCACUAGUGCAACAGGCACUGGCAUUCAGACACAAGGAAAACAAAUCCCUUCCUUUUAAUUCAAAUCCAUCUGGCUUCCCAUGAUUUCCUGUUCUCCAGCACAGUUCAGUUCCUAGGAAGACUUGCACAAUACAAAUAUACUGUUGCCUGUGCUAACAAAAUAAUUGACCUGCCAUGAAAAAGCUGGCAUAAAUAUUAUCUCCUCCUGGUAACUACUAAUAGCUAAAUUGCAUGUGGUAAUCUUUUUUGCUAUUAAUGUAAUUUUAAACAGACAUAAUGUUUACAAACAUAAACAGAACAAACAGUGUCAUGCCCUAUUCCAUGCAGGAUGUACAAUAAAUGACACAUUUACUGUAAAACAACUAUAUCAGCACCACCACAGUUAAAGAGCAUAUCUCACAGUCACAGCCAUCUAAAUUUGCUGGUCAGAUAUGAUUCUCUGGGAAAUUAAGGGCUGAGGAGGGAAAGAGCAUAACCAAACAAUUCUUUCUAAUGUUAUUGGACUGGGGGAGAGGGGAGCAACCACCUUUCCACUGAACUCAGUUUCUGCUUUAUGAAUCAAUUCAUGUUUUCUACUCUAUAUAGUUCAAUACAAAGAGGUCUGAGGAAGAUGAACAAGUCAAUGUUCAAAAUCUGGUUCAGUUUUACUAAUUUUACUGAAAUUAAUAUACUCAUAUGAUCAAUUUGGAGCUCAGACUAGCAAACACUAGUCCUGCUUUGGAAAUACUCCAGUUUGUGACCUUUGGCUCAGCCACUUUAGGAAAUGGAGCUGAUAACCCAGGAGUAAGUCCAGGAAAAUAAAUUAAGCAUCUGGAAACUGCAUAGGAGUGUGGUUAGGAGACAGAAUAAGAAUUUAACAGUGAAAAAAUAAAAUCCAGAAAUAUUUCUGGAGCAAUAACUAAAUCACAGGAUUUCUCAGGCACAGGGAGCAGCUGAAGCAGCAGCUUGCAGACCUCCCCCUCUCUCUUCUGCUCAGCCAGAGAUACCCCAGGGACGCCCCACUGUUGCACAGCCUUCACAGGCCACAGGCCAUUCCCCUCUGCCACAGAAACCUGUGGUGUGCAGGACCUUCACCUCUGAGGGACACAGCAAGGACUGAAACCAAAUCCACUCCUGGCACUGGGUCUGUUUGGCUGCUGAGGGAAGGAAAAUCUUGGCAAAUACAACUACUACAUCAGGACUGUCAUGUUGGAUUGUGAAAUGCUGUGAAAGGCCAAGCCCAUCCAUACACCUAAGACAACCAUUUCCCAAGACCAAAAGGAUGAAAAGCAGAACUUCUCAAGAACUAACUACUUCCAUAAAUCUCUGCUUAAGAAGGGGAUGUUUUGCUAUGGAUCAUAGAGGCAGCAGAAGCAGAACUGGGUCACACACGUACACAACAGGUGCUCUCCCUCCUACGAUGAGGCAAGAGUACAAAGAUUUACUCACUGUGUGGCCCAUCACAUAACAGUCAGUUCUACCUGUGAAAUGCCUGUGUAGCUCUGACAGUAACAGAAACAGGGUAUCAGUACUGACAGAAAAUUCAGGAGUACAAGAAAGCCAGAAGUGCUUCUUCACCAAUUCUUGCACAGACAGAAAGUGCAUGACCUAAUUCAGGAGAAUCAGUUUGCAGAUCAGAAUAUUAGUCUUCCAUUUGCCUUUUCACCAAUAAUAAAAUUGAAUGUGGUGGCUCUUAUAUUUCAGGAACUUGCCAUUGCUCAGAUGCUUAGAGGCUCUGUUCUGACUUUUAGUGCUUGAUAUUAGUAACAAUGAGAUUUCUUUUCAGGAUUUUGCUCUUUCCUUUGUUUUAUUUUGACAAUCCCAAAGGACAUAGCUAAAAGCCAUAGUCAUAUCUGGGUCAAGAUUUUCACAUCUGAUUAUUGAAUCUCUUGGGAAAAUUAUUUGCCUGGAAUCAGAGAGAAAUUAAUGUAUUAAUUUCCAUUAACAUAGUAUAAUUCUAAUAGCUGGAUUUUUGGUCAAUACCUAGCUACAGCUCUUGUGGAAAGGGGCUCAGUUGCUCUCCAUGAACAAAUAGGGCUUUGCAGAGAACUUUCUACAGAGGCAACACAGGGGAAUCAUGUCACAACCUCAUUCUCUCUUCUCCACCAUUUGCCUUCUCUUCAAACCCAUGACACUUAAGGAGUACUGGCACUCACAGACAAUCUGGGGGAUGGGAGCCCUCUUAAAAAACCUCUGCUGGCUUCAGAAGCCUUGUAAAACUCCAACAUGGCAACCAAGCUGCAAGUAAGCAAGGAAGAGAUAGGAAAAAGUGACAAGUGUGGCUAUCCUGACUCUUUCACGCUCAAAAAGCUGGAAAAUACAGUGGUAGGGGAAGGCGAUCACGCCCUUACCCGUAAGUAAAAGUGGAGGAUUUCCCCCUUUUUCCCAAGGUAAAAUCUAUAAGGAAACUAUUGUGGCAUUUCCCUGUGUGCCUCCUCCUGUGUGAUUUCCAUAACUGCUGUUACAGAAGUUGUGGAAUCUGCCCUGUCCCUUCCAGUGGGAAGGAGCAAGCACAGACUUGCUGCAGCUGGAUGACAGCAAAGGACAGAGGUAGGCAGACUUUAUCACCCUGUGUUGUUAUUGGCAGGAGUAAGAAGUUCUGUAGUACAGGAGGAGCUGGUUCUGAGCCAACCUACUCAGGCUCUCAGCAGGCAUUAGUCAUUGUGAUAAUGGUCUAAAUGCAGCCACCCAGUUACUGCUUGGCAAGCUUGAAUCUCUGCCAUGUGCUGAUAGAAGGAGUGCCAGGCACCCGUGUCAGCUGAAAGAUACGCUGCCAGUGGCUGGGGGAAACAGAGGAGGUGGGUGUGGUGUGAGCACACAAAGACACGUGUUGGGCCAAUGAAUAUACUCAGGUAAGUGAGAACCAAAGCAGACACUGCUGGACUGUUUGAAAGUAAUGAUGGAAACAGUUACCAUUGGGAAAGUGGUGCCUGUUCACUCUUUAUGUGAUGUUGCUAUGUGAAAUUUCCAUGAUUUUCCUUAAAAUGGUGAUUUCUUACACUUUGAAGUCCUUACUUGGUAGAGCAAAUGCAUUUACUCAUGGAAAAUGAAAAAGGAUCUCAUUUUAUCCAAGGAGCUGUAUGGUAAUUCCUUUAACCGUUCACACAUGGCAGAUCCUACCCCUCUUUCUAGCUGUAGCAGAUAAUUCUUUCCACUUCCCACAUAAACACUGAAGUGCCCUCAGUCUGUUCCUGUCACUGAGUGGUUGAUCCUCCAAGCUGAAACUGGUAAGCAGGUUAAAAAAAGCUCUGAAAAACCAGACUCAUCCAUACUGUUUAUGUUGUCCCCACCCUUCACCUUACUUUUACUUUUAAAAGUGUUAAAGGUAACCUGAAGGACUUAGACCAAGCAGCUGGGACCCUUGACAGCCAGUAUAACCUUUCUUGGAGUUGCUCUAAAUGAAAACUGCUCAAGUCUCGUCACCUGACUGCUGAACCUUCUCCCCUGCUCCAGAUGCAAACCAGAAGUGGGAAAAUACAUUGUAAGAGAACCUGGGGUACAUCUUCCUGCUGUGUUCAAGAUAUAGGCAAAGUAUGAGUACAGUCCAAAGCUGAUCAAAGUUGACAUAGCUGGGAGAAAGGAGGUGGCAGUUCAUACAGCUCUGGAUAGCUAUAGGAGGAGGCAUCUGGAAAUUAGCUUUACAGAGCUCAUGAAGAUUUUGAAAGCACCGAGCCAUAAAUCAUCAUAUGCACAUACUGACCUGAUUUUCUUGUGCAUACUUCAUGCUAUUUGUGCUUCAGAUUUCUGAAGUUUAAUAUGGGGCAGAGAACAAGGGGUUCAGGUUCUAACAAGGACUGCUGUUUGACUCAAACCUGAUUAAAGCCUAACUAUCAACUUAAUGUUUAGCAUUUCAUUUCAAGUUUGUUUCCAAAAACACAGAAACAAUUAUCUAAAUUUACAAGGAAAUUUUGGCUAUAUCCAAACUACAAUGUUUUUUCAGGCUGGAAUCCUGUCUAAACUGGAGAAUAGGUUUGAGCCAUUUGUUCCUUGCACAUUUUUUGAAGUAACAACAGAAAAAUCAGCUUUGAAUAUCUAUGGUGAUAUGUAACUGAAAAUCCAAGAUAAGCUUCCAUGUAAUACGGAGGGGUCAGAUAUGUCAAACUGAAUAACUUACAUAUAAACUCAGGCUGUUUAAGUGCUGUCACCGACAUAGUUUAUGAAAAAUACUUUACUUAGGAAUUUUCCUCUCCUGAGAGCUGAGAAGCCUCAGGAACGGACUGUAAACAAUUCUUAUCUGCUGCUGUAGAAUGCAACGGGGAGAAAUCUGUGAUUAGCCCCGUCAGACUGUUUGCAAUUAAGAGCCUAUCACAAUUCACCUGUUCGGCCCGUCUCGGGCUGAGAAGACUUCAGUUUAGACAUUCUUUUCUAUUCUUAAUAUAGCCUUGGUAGUGAAAUCUCUAGCUUUAUUCUUUUAGUAUAGUUUUUAUAUCUUAUAUAUCAUAUCAUAAUAAAUCAAGCCUUCUGAUGCAUG